UCCUACGGGAGGCAGCAGUAGGGAAUCUUGCGCAAUGGGCGAAAGCCUGACGCAGCGAUGCCGCGUGAGCGAUGAAGGCCUUCGGGUUGUAAAGCUCUGUGGACGGAGACGAAUAAGCUGUAGUUAAUACCUGCAGUGAUGACGGUAUCCAUUUAGCAAGCACCGGCUAACUCUGUGCCAGCAGCCGCGGUAAGACAGAGGGUGCAAACGUUGUUCGGAAUUACUGGGCGUAAAGCGCGUGUAGGCGGCACUAUAGGUCGGAUGUGAAAGCCCGCGGCUCAACCGUGGAAGUGCACCCGAAACCAUAGAGCUAGAGUCUCGGAGAGGAAGGUGGAAUGCUUGGUGUAGAGGUGAAAUUCGUAGAUAUCAAGCGGAACACCGGUGGCGAAGGCGGCCUUCUGGACGAUGACUGACGCUGAGACGCGAAAGCGUGGGUAGCAAACAGGAUUAGAUACCCUGGUAGUCCACGCCGUAAACGAUGAGUGCUAGGUGUCAGAGGUUUUGACCCUUCUGGUGCCGAAGCUAACGCGUAAGCCUCCGCCUG
Molecule: ribosomal RNA, 544 nt
Filed under: uncultured delta proteobacterium
Lineage: Bacteria; Deltaproteobacteria
Description: bacterial SSU rRNA
Rfam family: Bacterial small subunit ribosomal RNA
Source: RNAcentral